This is a long non-coding RNA of Pipistrellus kuhlii (Kuhl's pipistrelle), 158 nucleotides long. RefSeq lists it as uncharacterized. The transcript is spliced from 2 exons. The record is from RefSeq and is a predicted model, not a curated record. NCBI's taxonomy places the organism in Eukaryota, Metazoa, Chordata, Mammalia, Chiroptera, Vespertilionidae.
AAAGUGAUGCAUAUAAAAUUCUUAGGGAGAAACCAUGAUGGCAGCAUAGGUAAACAACUGAAAUUGCUGCCUCACACAACCACUUCAAAACUACAAUUAAAAGACAAAACAGACAUCAUCCAGAACAACAGGAAGGCUGGCCGAGUGGAAAUUCUACA